GAUGAAGAACGUAGUGAAAUGCGAUAACUAAUGUGAAUUGCAGAAUUCAGUGAAUCAUCGAAUCUUUGAACGCACAUUGCGCCCGCCAGUAUUCUGGCGGGCAUGCCUGUCUGAGCGUCAUUUCAACCCUCAAGCAACUUCUGCUUGGUGUUGGGGAUCGGCCGUCAAACGCCGCCCCCGAAAUCUAUUGGCGAUCUCGCUGUAGCUUCCUAUGCGUAGUAGUAACAUCUCGCAUCUGGAGAGCGGCGCGGUCAUGCCGUAAAACACCCAACUUCUCAGGUUGACCACAGAUCAGGUAGGAAUACCCGCUGAACUUAAGCAUAUCAAUAAGCGGAGGA
RNAcentral lists this unclassified non-coding RNA (338 nucleotides) under soil metagenome. Its description in RNAcentral is "partial contains 5.8S ribosomal RNA, internal transcribed spacer 2, and large subunit ribosomal RNA". The stretch from base 1 to 120 matches the Rfam family "5.8S ribosomal RNA", at positions 35 to 154 of the family's 154-position model. The record is from RNAcentral.